UUUUGAGAAAUUGUAAACAAAGAGUAGGGUGAUGUUUUGUGUUGAUGUUGCCUUUCAUUCGAUAGAAAUUCAGUGGAAGAGAAAUAAUGUGAUCGUGUUCCGAUAGUGUAUGAGAUGAAUGCAAUCGAAAUUUCAAAUUUGUAAAAGUCUUAGAGUGUAGUAUAUUUUCAACACAGUUGCAGUACAUUUUUGUCAUUGUGAUAGUAUAUUUUGACAGAUCGAGUAGAUUUUGUAUUACUUAGAUAGUAUUUUUGUCGGUGGUUGUAGUAUAUUUUGUGGGUUAUGGUAGUAGCUUUUAUUGGUGGCAGUAGUAGUUUUGGUUGCUGGUGGUAGUACUUUUGUUGCUGACGGUAAUAUUUUUUGUUGGUGGCGGAAGUAGCAUUUUUUGACACGACCCACCCCGAAUUUCACCCUGAAACCCGGAGUAAGUCGUGCGGGGACCACCUCCAAGGAAAAUUUACUGAAAAGAUUAAGAAAAUCUCCCUUGCAGAUGGACAACCCUAACUCGAAAAUUCAUAUUACACUCUUAAUUCAACACUUCCGAACAUCACAUAAUUAUCCUUCAGAAAUUCUACACAUAAUAUACAAUAAUCCCAAAGUAUUCAGAGCUACUAAACACAAGCGGAAGUAAGAAAACACGAGUAGGUUGAACAGGUAACCUACUGACGAAAACUGGUAGAAAUGCGGGUGACUAUGCCUCGUCUCCUACUAGAUCCAACCCGAACUCUGCAGACUGGGCAAUUUAAAACGAAGGACCUAGGAGAAAACAUUUAAUAACGUUAGAGUGAGUGGACAAAAAUAAAAUAAUAAAUAAAAUAUUUAUGUUUCCCCAAAUUAAUUUCUAAGGAAAAAUCGAAUGCAUGCCGCAAGCGAUAAAACUUUUAUCCCAUAAAAUAUCGAGCCUCUCAGACUCUAUAAUAUAUGUAUGUAUUUACACUCGUCCAUACUCCCUAUAUAAAUUCAUGGGUCUAUAUAGGGCUACUACGCUCGCGUCCAACGCUCACGUCACGCCUUAAUGCGGUGCUACACUACGCCAUCAAGGUGGACAGACGGGUGUAUAAAUAUGUGUCCAUACCCCCUAUAUGAAUUAAACACUCAAAUAGGGCUACUACGCUUACGUCCAACGUCUCACGUCACACCAUAAUGCGGCUAUAUGCUACGCCAUUAAGGUGGACAGACACAUAUGGCUAGCUAGCAUUUUCUAUACAUACUCUCUCAUAUAUACAUAUUAU
This 1232-nucleotide long non-coding RNA is filed under the name Fragaria vesca (wild strawberry). RNAcentral describes it as "long non-coding RNA (FVES_LNC004163)". Lineage: Eukaryota; Viridiplantae; Streptophyta; Magnoliopsida; Rosales; Rosaceae. The record is from RNAcentral.